UUGACCUCGGAUCAGGUAGGGAUACCGC
Molecule: ribosomal RNA, 28 nt
Filed under: Aspergillus venezuelensis
Lineage: Eukaryota; Fungi; Ascomycota; Eurotiomycetes; Eurotiales; Aspergillaceae
Description: partial 28S ribosomal RNA
Source: RNAcentral